Molecule: ribosomal RNA, 481 nt
Filed under: uncultured bacterium
Lineage: Bacteria
Description: partial 16S ribosomal RNA
Rfam family: Bacterial small subunit ribosomal RNA
Source: RNAcentral
UUGAACGCUGGCGGCAUGCCUUACACAUGCAAAUCGAACGGUAACGGGCCUUCGGGUGCCGACGAGUGGCGAACGGGUGAGUAAUACAUCGGAACGUGCCCGAUCGCGGGGGAUAACGAGGCGAAAGCUUUGCUAAUACCGCAUCCGAACUACGGAUGAAAGCAGGGGACCGCAAGGCCUUGCGCGGACGGGGCGGCCGAUGGCAGACUAGGUAGUUGGUGGGAUAAAAGCUUACCAAGCCGACGAUCUGUGGCUGGUCUGAGAGGAUGAUCAGCCACACUAGGGCUGAGACGCGGCCCAGACUCCUACGGGAGGCAGCAGUGGGGAAUGUUGGGCAGUGGGCGCGAGCCUGAUCCAGCCAUGCCGCGUGCAGGAUGAAGGCCUUCGGGUUGUAAACUGAUUUUGUACGGAACGAAAAGCCUUCUUUUAAUACAGGAGGGUCAUGACGGUACCGUAAGAAUAAGCACCGGCUAACUACGUG